Molecule: ribosomal RNA, 258 nt
Filed under: uncultured bacterium
Lineage: Bacteria
Description: partial 16S ribosomal RNA
Rfam family: Bacterial small subunit ribosomal RNA
Source: RNAcentral
AGAGAAGCGAAGCGGUGACGUGGAGCAAACCUCAGAAAGCCAAUCUCAGUUCGGAUUGUAGGCUGCAACUCGCCUACAUGAAGUUGGAAUCGCUAGUAAUCGCGAAUCAGAAUGUCGCGGUGAAUACGUUCCCGGGUCUUGUACACACCGCCCGUCACACCACGAGAGUUUACAACACCCGAAGUCAGCGGCCUAACCGCAAGGAGGGAGCUGCCUAAGGUGGGGUAGAUGAUUGGGGUGAAGUCGUAACAAGGUAGC